UACGUAGGGUGCGAGCGUUAAUCGGAAUUACUGGGCGUAAAGCGUGCGCAGGCGGUUCGCCAAGUCAGGUGUGAAAUCCCCGGGCUUAACCUGGGAAUUGCGCUUGAAACUAGCGGGCUUGAGUGUGGCAGAGGGGGGUGGAAUUCCACGUGUAGCAGUGAAAUGCGUAGAGAUCGGGAGGAAGGCCGGUGGCGAAGGCGGCGCUCUGGAACGUACCUGACGCUGAGACACGAAAGCGUGGGGAGCAAACAGG
This 253-nucleotide ribosomal RNA is filed under the name uncultured bacterium. Its description in RNAcentral is "partial 16S ribosomal RNA". It matches the Rfam family "Bacterial small subunit ribosomal RNA", at positions 524 to 776 of the family's 1533-position model. The record is from RNAcentral.